RNAcentral lists this long non-coding RNA (875 nucleotides) under Chinchilla lanigera (long-tailed chinchilla). Its description in RNAcentral is "lncRNA (ENSCLAG00000025025.1)". Lineage: Eukaryota; Metazoa; Chordata; Mammalia; Rodentia; Chinchillidae. The record is from RNAcentral.
UGUCAUUAGGAAAUCUGAAGCUGUUACCUGCCUCUACAUGUUUUGAUGGGAUCCCAGGAAACUUCCCAAUCCUAGUCCAAUACCAUGAAUCCAUGACCCAAAAGAAUAUUAGUGCUGGCUUUCAAACCUGCUUCAUUGCUGAAAAACCGAUUUCUGCCUGUGGCAAUCCUACACCCAUUAUUUAAAAAAAAAAAAAGAAGCAUCCACUGGCCUUGUUUUGCACACCCCGUGAUAGGUGUUCAGCACCUCACAAUGUAGCCAACUGUGAAACAAUUCCUGGAGACUUUAUGGUUCUCCUGAAACUUUAUGGUUCUCCCACCCCCCUAAAAUCUGUCAAAGAUAACAUAUACAAGGUUGAGCAAAUACCUGAUUUUUUAAGUUUAAAUUGACAGCUAGACAACAGCACCACCUUAUUGUCUCUUUCCUUCCCCAAGAAUGCAGCCAAGAGAACCUAGAGGUGCCACGCUCCUUUGUGGCUGCCGGGCAAUCAUUCACCAGCCUGCCCUGGUCUCCAAGCUCCCUCCACAGUUCUGCCCAGGGGAACUCAGGCGUGUCAUUAGUGCUAACUGUUGUGGCUGCCAAGGAAACCUUCCCACAGUUUGCAAACAUGCUACCUACAUACCCGAGGCAAGGGAGCACUGGAACCCCCGACGGAGACGACAGGAACCCAGGGGCUCACCUGGAGCAGCCACAACCUCGGUCCCCCAAACCCUGCGUCUCGGGGCAGCCAAAGCAGAAGUGUUUGGGCGUUAAAGUGUUGGCGGCGGGGCAGAGCAACUGGAACUCCCGAGCCUCGCUGGUGGGAACGCAACGUGGUAUAGCCGCUGUGGAAGGCAGGAUGGUGGCUUCUCAGAAAAUUAAAAAGAGAUUGGGUA